Molecule: non-coding RNA, 26 nt
Filed under: Homo sapiens (human)
Lineage: Eukaryota; Metazoa; Chordata; Mammalia; Primates; Hominidae
Source: RNAcentral
UGGCAGAGACGAUGGUGUUGGCGGCC